Molecule: ribosomal RNA, 221 nt
Filed under: uncultured fungus
Lineage: Eukaryota; Fungi
Description: partial 18S ribosomal RNA
Rfam family: Eukaryotic small subunit ribosomal RNA
Source: RNAcentral
GUUGUUGCAGUUAAAAAGCUCGUAGUUGAAUUUCGGGGUUAGUAUGUUGGUCAUGCCUCUGGUAUGUACUGAUCUCACUGAUUCCUCCUUCCUUAUGAACCGUAAUGCCAUUAAUUUGGUGUUGCGGGGAAUUUGGACUGUUACUUUGAAAAAAUUAGAGUGGUUAAAGCAGGCUAACGCUUGAAUACAUUAGCAUGGAAUAAUGAAAUAGGACGUUCGAU